RNAcentral lists this ribosomal RNA (253 nucleotides) under uncultured bacterium. RNAcentral's name for it is "partial 16S ribosomal RNA". It matches the Rfam family "Bacterial small subunit ribosomal RNA", at positions 524 to 776 of the family's 1533-position model. The record is from RNAcentral.
UACGUAGGGCGCAAGCGUUGUCCGGAAUUAUUGGGCGUAAAGAGCUCGUAGGUGGCUUGUCACGUCGGGUGUGAAAGCUUGGGGCUUAACUCCCAGGUCUGCAUUCGAUACGGGCUGGCUAGAGGUAGGUAGGGGAGACGGAAUUCCUGGUGUAGCGGUGAAAUGCGCAGAUAUCAGGAGGAACACCGGUGGCGAAGGCGGUUCUCUGGGCCUUACCUGACGCUGAGGAGCGAAAGCGUGGGGAGCGAACAGG